UUCCAGCUCUAAAAGCGUAUUCUAAAGUUGUUGCAGUUAAAAAGCUCGUAGUCGAGAGCCAUCACACUCGUGAGAGCGUGAGCGGAGGCGGAUUGAGGAAAGGAGAGUGCUUCAGGGUAAAGUGGGAGAGCUUGGGACGCCUCGAAGGUUGCAAGACCUUUGUGAGAAGAGAAAGCAGUGGAGGACGUGGGUAUUUCAUGGACAGAGGUGAAAUUCUAUGACCCAUGAAAGACGAUCGGGGGCGAAAGCG
RNAcentral lists this ribosomal RNA (250 nucleotides) under uncultured archaeon. RNAcentral's name for it is "partial 16S ribosomal RNA". It matches the Rfam family "Eukaryotic small subunit ribosomal RNA", at positions 583 to 953 of the family's 1831-position model. The record is from RNAcentral.